ACUUCCAAAGUUUGCAUUUUUCAGGGAACCUAUCAAUUGCCACUCAACAACAUUAUUGAAGAAAAUCUAGGAUUCGACAGGGACACUUAAGUCAAGGAGAAAAUGAGGAACACACCUGACUCCAUUUUGAAAGCUCUACCCUGAAGUGGACAGCUGCAGCAUUACAACCCCUUUCCAGAACAAUCCUGAAAGAUACAGGUGAAGGAAAAUCAUCACAGUGGGCAGAACUUUGGAAGAUAUUGCCUUUCAAAGAAAACCACAUAGAACCAGCCCAAAGCACCUGUCUUCACUCCUCUAGACAAUAAACUCGCUGGUUGUCAUGCUACAUUCGGCCUCUAGGGGAGCUCAUCUCUGCAGUUGAAUUUGGGAUUGAGGCUGGGCCUCUUCUACCUUGACAUAGAGCUCAGCCUCCAAAGUCUAAGUCUCUUCUUUAUCCUCCAGCUUUAUUUAGAAAGAUGAGCUUUGAGCAGUGGUGGCACAUGCCUUUAAUCCCAGCACUCCGGAGGCAGAGGCAGGCGGAUUUCUGAGUUUGAGGCCAGCCGGGUCUACAGAGUGAGUUCCAGGACAGCCAGGGCUAUACAGAGAAACCCUGUAUGGAAAAUGAGAAAAAAAAAAAAAAAAAAAGAAAGAUGAUCUUUGAGACUCUCAUUUCCUCUUUUCCAGGCAUAUAUGAGCAGUUUCUUUGGGGCAAAACCACUGCAUUCAGUUACAAAACUACAGUUGUUACAAAACAGGAGAACUCCAUGUCUUACACCAGAAUCCAAGCAAUAACAGAGACCCCGGACUUAGGAAAAAAGCCUUAAGCGGCUGUGGUUGUGCUGACCUGCAGUCCCAGCGCUGGGGACAGGCGAGCAGGAAGAACAUGAGUGUGAGCCCAGCCUGGGCUGGGGAAGUGGCUCCUGAGGAAGAGCACUUACUGUUCAAACAGGAGGACGCAUGGCCAUAAUCCCUGUGCCCAGGUAAAAAGCCCAGCGCGUCUGUGCUCUCUGUAAGCCUGCCUUUCUGUAGCUCAACAGGCAAUGUCACCAUCCCUCCACAUGCAAUGUCACACAUAUUGUGCACACACUCUUCACCCCCUCCCCCAACCCCUGACUGUCUUCCCUCCAUCUUUACAAAUUCUGUUCUGUAUACUUUGUGUAAACAACCCCAAGCAGUGCACACCUUCUGGGCCUGGCUUCUUUCACAUAGUCUAGGGAGCAUGCCAAGUUCUGACCACUUAGCACUCUGUUCCUUUUUAUAACAGAACCAUGUCCCAUUGUAGCCUGACUUUAGGUGAAUCUGCCUUCCCAAGGGGGGGCUGUCUCUUGGCCAGGUGAUUGACAGACCCAACUAAACUAAAUCUCUUCAAAGAGAGAAGGGAAGACAAUGAUAUAAAUGUUCUAUUUGGAGCACCUAGAAUGCCCUUUCUCUUCCCAAGUCCAGGGAUAGUAUAUUCUUUGCACUGGGCCUUAAGUAAUGGCAAUCCAGAUGUUUACCAGGAAAUGGAGGUGGGGACUUCAAAGGAAAGUUGCAGCAAAGGAGCCUCACCUUGCACUGAAUCAUCUCCAAAGCUGGUAAUAGAACAGAACGGCUGAGACUGUGCAGUGGUUACAAUGUUGCAGGUUCAGGGUUAUUGUAAUUUAUCUUAGGAUUUAUUUACCACCCUUAAUGGCCAUUCCUUGGCUACUUCUCUUCUGAUGUAACAUCCUGUGACUAACAGAAUCUUUAGGACUGCAUUUUAACACCCUAGCUUCCUCCUACCAGAAGCCCGUGAGUCAUCAGAUGCCACCUGGAGCCUAUAGCAGAGGUGUCCUGAACCCCUUUACCUGCCGUUUCCACUAGUGUGCUUGAAAAGUACCUUGAUUUAGAACUUUCUUUGUUGUUACUAUAAAACCUUCAUCACAUUGAUACAUGGAACUUGAGGUUGUUUGGUUUCAGACUCUGGAUACUAGGGACUGAAGUUCAUAUUUUACAUAUUAAAGCAGACCUGGCCUCUACAUUAUCCCAGCAUCCCUCAGUCCUUACCUGGCAUUCCCUAUCUCCAACCCUGAAUCUUCCAGCCCAGAGGCUAAGCUGCCCUUCCUGAGAGCCUCUUCCCUAUAUAAUCCAGAUGGUAUGGUCUCUCCUCCCCCUCCUUCGCUCUCUCCUACUCUCCUUCUAGCUCUUCUUUUCACUAUCCUUGUGUUUCCAAUUUCCUUGCUCUCUCUUUCUCUCUUUCUCUCUUUCUCUUUCUCUCUCUCUCUCUCUCUCUCUCUCUCUCUCUCUCUCUCUCUCUCAGCAACUUCUUUGGCCUUGGUCUUUGGGGCCAGUGAACCUGCCUGAGAGUACCUUUUGAAUAAUCUGCAUACACACACACACACACACACACACACACACACACACACUCACACACAUAUCUAUCUAUCUAUCUAUCUAUCUAUCUAUCUAUCUAUCUAUCUAUCUAUCUAUCUAUCAUCUAUCUAUCUAUCGAUAUAAAUAGAGAUAGAUAUAGGCACAGACACAGAUACAGAUAUAGAUAGUUUCUUUCAACACUGGCAGAGAAAUAACUUAUCAGAUUUAACCGAAGGCUUUCCUCCGGAUCACCCUCAUUUAUAUUUGGCUUCAGGAUGAACUCUCUUUCAUCCCCUUUGAGGUGAGAGCUGAAUCUUUGUGUGAACAGCUUCAAAGCUUCCAUAAUCAUUAAGACCACUGUAACAGGUAUGACUGGAAGCUCACCAGAGAUGGCCAUUCACGCAUUUACACUGAGUAUAAAUCCAAUUGAAAGUCUUUAUUCCAGACAUAUGGGACCGCACCCAAGUAUUGGGUACCUAGCUGUGGCACUGAGUGUCUAGAAUAUAGAGCUUUUAAAGUCUGAAAAAACAUCCUGUCUUCUUAGGCACAGGGACAUGGAAGAAGUAAGCAGUUUGAAGCAAGGGAUCUUAAGGGGAGCUUAGCCAGUGGGGAGGUGGGGGUGAAACUAAGGAGGGUGAGAAGGUUGUUUCACAUAAACCUGUAGUUUUACUGAAGGCUUGGAUAAGUGACCUAGGACAUCCAGAACGUUGGUUCCUAGAAUAAAGCAAGGUAGUUUUCAAUGGAUUCUCCAUGAAGGAGAUCAGAUUCUGGUUAAACCUGGAAAUGGCCUUACCGAGGGCACAAGAUGGACGGACCUCAGCACUGUCUUGCCUGAUCACACAGAUGGAUAGAGAUACAGAGCAAGGGUUUUCAGAACUAAAAUGGACUGACAUUUGUAAAGCUCUAACUCACAUAAAUAACAAGAUAAAGAGUACGUGAGAAUGGCCAUGAGGCUGUGAAGGGAAGGAUCUAGUGCUUAUGAUUGGCCAGGACCCAGCACCAAGUACCCGCACAUUAUUCACAUAAAAGGAUCCUACAAAGAAGCUUCCCCAUGGCUGCGGAACCUCAGUCUGAUACACACUGUCAGGUAACUUGGGGAGAAGAAGUUCACUACCACAAUUUAGAGCCAAAUUCAAAACAAGCUUAAUUUUUAUUGGGUGCAUAUGAGAACUGGGUAGUGACAGUUAUGCUUU
Molecule: long non-coding RNA, 3503 nt
Filed under: Mus musculus (house mouse)
Lineage: Eukaryota; Metazoa; Chordata; Mammalia; Rodentia; Muridae
Description: predicted gene 28068
Source: RNAcentral